UACGGGGGGAGCAAGCGUUGUUCGGAUUUACUGGGCGUAAAGGGCGCGUAGGCGGUCAGCACAAGUCAGUUGUGAAAUCUCCGGGCUUAACUCGGAAAGGUCAACUGAUACUGUGCGACUAGAGUGCAGAAGGGGCAACUGGAAUUCUCGGUGUAGCGGUGAAAUGCGUAGAUAUCGGGAGGAACACCAAUGGCGAAGGCAGCUCGCUGGGACGUGACUGACGCUGAGGCGCGAAAGCGUGGGGAGCAAACAGG
RNAcentral lists this ribosomal RNA (254 nucleotides) under uncultured bacterium. RNAcentral's name for it is "partial 16S ribosomal RNA". It matches the Rfam family "Bacterial small subunit ribosomal RNA", at positions 524 to 776 of the family's 1533-position model. The record is from RNAcentral.